AAAGAAGAGAUUCGCACUAUUUCUAGCAGCUAUUAAGUAGGAGGCAUUGAUCUAAUUAGGUUCCUGUAGCCUGGAGACAACUGGCUAUAAACCUCCCAGUUACUCCUCGGUGGCUUAAUAGCUUUCAACCCUCCUUUUUGGUGAGUAGCAGUACUUUUGGGUGUUCCUGUUUUCCUGACCUCUGGCUGGCUACAAUUUAUUACUUUAUUUCCCCCUGACUUUGUUUAUCUGGACUGAACAACUUCUGGAUUGCCUGAUGGCCACUCUACUCCUUCUCUCUUCAUUAUGCUGAAAACCUUGUGACUGACCUGGACCAAAUCAACUCCUCAACAAUUCUCACUCUGACAAGUCUGGUUCUUGGGUCACUUGCUGAGGAGAACAUAAUACAGAAACUAGAGCAAUGCAAAUCAAGAUUCACUUGUGUACAUACACUUUCCAGGGUAGCACUCUCACCUUGAGAAUCCUUUGCUUGCCCUGAGGAUCAGAGAGAGUGUACAAAAGUUGAAACUCAGGGCCUGAGAUCCGGGGACCAUAAAUAUUAAAGCAGGGGUGGGGAAACUGUGGCCUCCAGGUCACAUUCAAUCCUCAAUCCAUUUUAUAGCCCUUCUGAUAUCUCAGAACUCCUAGACCCUGAAAAAAAUAUAUAUGGGAGGGGAGAUGAAAAAGUACAAGAAAUUUCCUUACUGCACACAACUGUCUCAAUUUAUAAGUAGCUUAUAUCUUCCUACCCUGCCUUCUUCUCCCUUAAGAGGUAAGAUGCAGAAGUGAAUACAACCGAAGUCUCCACACUGUCAUCAUAUUCAACAGGCUUUGGCCUCACCAAAAGUUCAUACUGGUAGAAGCCAGCUUUAAUGGACCUCGUUCCUUCAAGACACUCAGGUGGUCAAGGAGCUGGGGCUGAUGGAGGGUGCUCACCCCGACCCAGGCUUGAACUGCCGACGUUUCAAUCAGUAGGAUUUUCUGCAGCUGGCAGUUUAGGCUGCUGAGCUAAGCCUGGCCUCAGGACAAUAGAGUUCGAUGGUGAUAGUACACAGAGGUUGAAAAAACAGUGGGUGGAGGGUAUAUGCAUGAGAUGCAAAUAGUUCAUAAUAGGCUUAACUGGAUUCUGAGUAACUAUUGUGUAUACUCAUGUAUGUCUAGAAAUAAAAAAUAAAAGAUGUAAUAGAAUUUUAGUAAAAGAACAACCCAAAAAAGCUAGGUUGACUUACCCAUGGGUCUAGUAUUAUAGAGUUGGAAGAGACUUCAAGGGCCAUCAAGCCCUAUUCCCCAUCACACAAUCCAAACCUCCCCAGUAGAUGGCCAUCCAGACUCUGUUUAAAAGUCAAUAUUUGAGCACUGUACCUUAAUGCUUAUGAAUAAAACAAUCGCCCUCUCCUCUGAAUAAAGCGGAUAAAAAUGAGAAUUUAGUCGGUCUGAGGAGAAUAUAAAAAUAG
This 1433-nucleotide long non-coding RNA is filed under the name Anolis carolinensis (green anole). RNAcentral describes it as "lncRNA (ENSACAG00000043466.1)". Lineage: Eukaryota; Metazoa; Chordata; Lepidosauria; Squamata; Anolidae. The record is from RNAcentral.